GACGAACGCUGGCGGCGCGCUUAACACAUGCAAGUCGAACGGAAAGGCCUGCUUUCCCUUGUGGAUUGCGGGUACUCGAGUGGCGAACGGGUGAGUAACACGUGAGUGAUCUGCCCCCAACUUGGGUAUAAGCCUGGGAAACUGGGUCUAAUUCCCGAUAGGACUGCAGGGUGGUGCCUGCGGUGGAAAACGAUUUUCUAGUGGUUGGGGAUGAGCUCGCGGCCUAUCAGCUUGUUGGUGGGGUAAUGGCCUACCAAGGCGGCGACGGGUAGCCGGCCUGAGAGGGUGGACGGCCACAUUGGGACUGAGAUACGGCCCAGACUCCUACGGGAGGCAGCAGUGGGGAAUAUUGCACAAUGGGCGGAAGCCUGAUGCAGCGACGCCGCGUGGGGGAUGACGGCCUUCGGGUUGUAAACUCCUUUCGACCGCGAGGAAGCCACCUGGUUGGAAGGGUGGUGACGGUAGUGGUAGAAGAAGCACCGGCUAACUACGUG
RNAcentral lists this ribosomal RNA (494 nucleotides) under uncultured bacterium. Its description in RNAcentral is "partial 16S ribosomal RNA". It matches the Rfam family "Bacterial small subunit ribosomal RNA", at positions 28 to 507 of the family's 1533-position model. The record is from RNAcentral.